UUUAACUUGGAGGGGUUUCACGUCACCCCUCCAUUCAGUAAAAGAAACAAAAGAAAGGGAAUUGAAAAGAGGGUUAAUCCUAAAAUCAUCUCCUCCUCCAUUCUUCUUCACCGGCGGCAAUAUUGGUGAGGUGCGGUGGUCUCUUUUUCUUCUCCAUUUUUAUCGUGACAAGGAGGCAAAGGGAACCGAAUCUCCAACUUCUUCCUCACCGGGUUGCAGUGAUUCAGUUCUUCUCUCAAGUGGCUUAUGGUGGUUCGAUUGGUGAAAUUGGAGCCACGGUGGUUCAGACGGGUUAUUGUGGUGUUUGGUGAUGGUACUCAUCGAUGAAGACCUCAACCUUAACGGUAGCUCGGAUUCGGAUUCUUGCUCGCAUAAAUGAAAUAAUAAAUAAAAAAGGGAGAGGAAUUUAACUUGGAGGGGUUUCACGUCACCCCUCCAUUCAGUAAAAGAAACAAAAGAAAGGGAAUUGAAAAGAGGGUUAAUCCCUAAAAUCAUCUCCUCCUCCAUUCUUCUUCACCGGCGGCAAUAUUGGUGAGGUGCGGUGGUCUCUUUUCUUCUCCAUUUUUAUCGUGGCAAGGAGGCAAAAGGAACCGAAUCUCCAACUUCUUCCUCACCGGGUUGCAGUGAUUCAGUUCUUCUCUCAAGUGGCUUAUGGUGGUUCGAUUGGUGAAAUUGGAGCCACGGUGGUUCAGACGGGUUAUUGUGGUGUUUGGUGAUGGUACUGAUCGAUGAAGACCUCAACCUUAACGGUAGCUCGGAUUCGGAUUCUUGCUCGCAAGGCGAUUCACGGUGGUUCCGAAUCGACAUAAGCGAGGGGUUUCGAUAAGAAAAUUACCCCUUUUGCUAUUUGAUUUUUUUACAGUACGAAAAUGGUUUGUCAUACAUAACCGAUUUAGGCUAAAGAUUAUCCAGAAAUGAACCCUAUGUCUUAAUAUUAUAUCGCUGCAUUGUAUACUUCAUAUUGAUAUGCACGUCUUUGUUGAAGCCAAAUGAAUGAAAAAUAUGCAUUUUAUUUGUAUGAUCUUUAAUUAGAUGUGUACAGAACACGUUAAAAUCAAAAGGGGUAUACUAUUUAGUUCCAGACUUGUUAUGGCUGCUGUGUUAGUAUUGCACUAGUAAAAAAUCAUGAUUCUCUUCAUAUUAGAACUAGCAUAACUAUGCUCAUUAUGUUAUUUAAAUAUAUAAAAAAUCAUUAGGGAGUAAACCCUCGACUUAUGUUAGUGAUAUGAGCAUAAGGAUAUGUGAUUCGCAAUGAGUAAGGUUCAUUUAUGUUUACUAGCACUUGAAUAAAUAGGAUGGGUGACUUACCUGAUUAUGCUUUGUUCCCUUAUCCUUCUGCGUGUUGAAUCUUCGUUCCAAGAUGUUCUCUUUUCUCUAUCUUUGUU
RNAcentral lists this long non-coding RNA (1385 nucleotides) under Lupinus angustifolius (narrow-leaved blue lupine). Its description in RNAcentral is "long non-coding RNA (LANG_LNC000148)". Lineage: Eukaryota; Viridiplantae; Streptophyta; Magnoliopsida; Fabales; Fabaceae. The record is from RNAcentral.